GAAGGUGGCAAGCGUUGUUCGGAUUCACUGGGCGUACAGGGAGCGUAGGCGGUUGGGUAAGCCCUCCGUGAAAUCUCCGGGCCUAACCCGGAAAGUGCAGAGGGGACUGCUCAGCUAGAGGAUGGGAGAGGAGCGCGGAAUUCCCGGUGUAGCGGUGAAAUGCGUAGAGAUCGGGAGGAAGGCCGGUGGCGAAGGCGGCGCUCUGGAACAUUUCUGACGCUGAGGCUCGAAAGCGUGGGGAGCAAAC
RNAcentral lists this ribosomal RNA (247 nucleotides) under uncultured Nitrospira sp. RNAcentral's name for it is "partial 16S ribosomal RNA". It matches the Rfam family "Bacterial small subunit ribosomal RNA", at positions 527 to 773 of the family's 1533-position model. The record is from RNAcentral. Lineage: Bacteria; Pseudomonadati; Nitrospirota; Nitrospiria; Nitrospirales; Nitrospiraceae.